AGACAAAUGAACAAGGAACUUGCUGCUCUUGGGCUGGCACUUGUGGUCUCCAGAUUUUUGUUGCCAAACCAGUGGAAUUGAGAACAGCAAAACUCUCAUUGGAAAGAACGAGGAAUGGCCUUUCUGAAGCUAGCAUGAGAAUAUGUGGAUGGGCAAGGCCUGCAUCAUCAUUCUCUACAAGAAACAGCAGCCCCACAAACACACAAGAUACAAGCAAGUGCAUAACAAGAACAAAGAUUUCAAAUGGCUGCAGUUUGGGCUUUGUGGAACUUCAAUCAGUCAGUUUGUAUAGUGCAAAUCAAACAAAGCAAGCAGUGAGUGACCCCCCAACAUCUUCUCAUGGCACUCUCAGAAAAAGAGGUUACAUUGAACUUCCCAAGAUACAGGAGUAGGGCUACACGAAAGCCAUAGCAUCAAAGGCAGAAGGAAGGCAACAGCAAUAAACAAGAACUUGUUCUUUAGAUGUGGUGGAUGGAUACGGUCACUUUCAAUGCAGGGAGGAAAGGGAGGCAGAAGAGCUGUGAAUUACGAUCCAUUUCACUUCUGUCCAGCCAAAGAAAAAGCAAUUACAACAUAUACUUCAAGUCUGAUCACCAAAAAACUGCAAGAAGCUCACUACUGGAA
Molecule: non-coding RNA, 624 nt
Organism: Pogona vitticeps (central bearded dragon)
Lineage: Eukaryota; Metazoa; Chordata; Lepidosauria; Squamata; Agamidae
Source: RefSeq, a predicted model, not a curated record